Molecule: regulatory RNA element, 384 nt
Organism: Enterococcus faecalis V583
Lineage: Bacteria; Bacillati; Bacillota; Bacilli; Lactobacillales; Enterococcaceae
Rfam family: cspA thermoregulator
Source: Rfam
UGCUAUAGUAAUAGAUGUAGUUUUUGUUCGGUAAUAUGGGUAGCUGUUUCAAAUAAACAUCUUCCACAUUUUUCACCUUUCAAGUAAUUGCAAAAUAUGAAUGUGUUAUAACACACAUCUAGGAGGAUAUUUAUUAUGGAAACAGGUACAGUAAAAUGGUUUAACUCAGACAAAGGCUUUGGCUUCAUCACUGCAGAAAACGGAAACGAUGUAUUCGUACAUUUCUCAGCUAUCCAAGGUGACGGCUUCAAAACUUUAGAAGAAGGUCAAGCAGUAACUUUCGAAAUCGAAGAAGGUCAACGUGGCCCUCAAGCAACUAACGUUACUAAAGCUUAAUUAAACAAUACUGACUCAAAAACCUGACGUUAAUCGUCAGGUUUUUUU